This 367-nucleotide ribosomal RNA is filed under the name uncultured beta proteobacterium. RNAcentral's name for it is "bacterial SSU rRNA". It matches the Rfam family "Bacterial small subunit ribosomal RNA", at positions 1016 to 1386 of the family's 1533-position model. Lineage: Bacteria; Pseudomonadati; Pseudomonadota; Betaproteobacteria. The record is from RNAcentral.
CUCGUAAGAGAAAGUGAACACAGGUGCUGCAUGGCUGUCGUCAGCUCGUGUCGUGAGAUGUUGGGUUAAGUCCCGCAACGAGCGCAACCCUUGUCUUUAGUUGCUACGCAAGAGCACUCUAAAGAGACUGCCGGUGACAAACCGGAGGAAGGUGGGGAUGACGUCAAGUCCUCAUGGCCCUUAUGGGUAGGGCUUCACACGUCAUACAAUGGUGCAUACAGAGGGUUGCCAACCCGCGAGGGGGAGCUAAUCUCAGAAAAUGCAUCGUAGUCCCGGAUCGUAGUCUGCAACUCGACUACGUGAAGCUGGAAUCGCUAGUAAUCGCGGAUCAGAAUGUCGCCGGUGAAUACGUUCCCGGGUCUUGUAC